UUAAUACAAGAUGGCAUCAUGAGUCCACAUGUUCACAUGAUUAAAGGUAUUCCGGUAGACGAUGGGGAUGCGUUCCAUUAGAUAGUAGGCGGGGUAACGGCCCACCUAGUCUUCGAUGGAUAGGGGUUCUGAGAGGAAGGUCCCCCACAUUGGAACUGGGACACGGUCCAAACUCCUACGGGAGGCAGCAGUGAGGAAUAUUGGUCAAUGGGCGAGAGCCUGAACCAGCCAAGUAGCGUGAAGGAUGACUGCCCUAUGGGUUGUAAACUUCUUUUAUAAAGGAAUAAAGUCGGGUAUGCAUACCCGUUUGCAUGUACUUUAUGAAUAAGGAUCGGCUAACUCCGUGCCAGCAGCCGCGGUAAUACGGAGGAUCCGAGCGUUAUCCGGAUUUAUUGGGUUUAAAGGGAGCGUAGAUGGAUGUUUAAGUCAGUUGUGAAAGUUUGCGGCUCAACCGUAAAAUUGCAGUUGAUACUGGAUAUCUUGAGUGCAGUUGAGGCAGGCGGAAUUCGUGGUGUAGCGGUGAAAUGCUUAGAUAUCACGAAGAACUCCGAUUGCGAAGGCAGCCUGCUAAGCUGCAACUGACAUUGAGGCUCGAAAGUGUGGGUAUCAAACAGGAUUAGAUACCCUGGUAGUCCACACGGUAACC
RNAcentral lists this ribosomal RNA (646 nucleotides) under uncultured bacterium. RNAcentral describes it as "bacterial SSU rRNA". It matches the Rfam family "Bacterial small subunit ribosomal RNA", at positions 163 to 807 of the family's 1533-position model. The record is from RNAcentral.